Molecule: ribosomal RNA, 480 nt
Filed under: uncultured bacterium
Lineage: Bacteria
Description: partial 16S ribosomal RNA
Rfam family: Bacterial small subunit ribosomal RNA
Source: RNAcentral
GACGAACGCUGGCGGCGUGCUUAACACAUGCAAGUCGAACGAUGAAGUUCCUUCGGGAAUGGAUUAGUGGCGAACGGGUGAGGAACACGUGAGAAACCUGCCUUUCAUUUUGGGAUAACUCCGGGAAACCGGGGCUAACACCGAAUACUCCGUCUCGGCGGCAUCGCUGAGCCGGGAAAAAAUUUUGAUGAAAGAUGGUCUCGCGGCCUAUCAGCUAGUUGGUGAGGGAAUGGCUCACCAAGGCAACGACGGGUAGCCGGCCUGAGAGGGCGACCGGCCACACUGGGACUGAGACACGGCCCAGACUCCUACGGGAGGCAGCAGUGGGGAAUAUUGGGCAAUGGGCGCAAGCCUGACCCAGCGACGCCGCGUGAGGGAUGAAGGCCUUCGGGUUGUAAACCUCUUUCAGUAGGGAAGAAGCGAAAGUGACGGUACCUAAAGAAGAAGCACCGGCUAACUAUGUGCCAGCCGCCGCAGUAA